This 828-nucleotide ribosomal RNA is filed under the name uncultured bacterium. RNAcentral describes it as "bacterial SSU rRNA". It matches the Rfam family "Bacterial small subunit ribosomal RNA", at positions 8 to 829 of the family's 1533-position model. The record is from RNAcentral.
AGAGUUUGAUCCUGGCUCAGGAUGAACGCUAGCGACAGGCUUAACACAUGCAAGUCGAGGGGCAGCACAAUGUAGCAAUACACGGGUGGCGACCGGCGCACGGGUGAGUAACGCGUAUGCAACUUGCCUAUCAGAGGGGGAUAACCCGUCGAAAGACGGACUAAUACCGCAUGAAACAGGGGCCCCGCAUGGGGAUAUUUGUUAAAGAAAAUCGCUGAUAGAUAGGCAUGCGUUCCAUUAGGUAGUUGGCGGGGCAACGGCCCACCAAGCCGACGAUGGAUAGGGGUUCUGAGAGGAAGGUCCCCCACACUGGUACUGAGACACGGACCAGACUCCUACGGGAGGCAGCAGUGAGGAAUAUUGGUCAAUGGGCGAGAGCCUGAACCAGCCAAGUCGCGUGAGGGAUGACGGCCCUACGGGUUGUAAACCUCUUUUAUAAGGGAAUAAAGGACAUCACGUGUGGUGUUUUGCAUGUACCUUAUGAAUAAGCAUCGGCUAACUCCGUGCCAGCAGCCGCGGUAAUACGGAGGAUGCGAGCGUUAUCCGGAUUCAUUGGGUUUAAAGGGUGCGUAGGUCGCCGAUUAAGUCAGCGGUGAAAGUCAGUGGCUCAACCAUUGAACUGCCGUUGAAACUGGUUGGCUUGAGUACGUACGGGGCAGGCGGAAUGCGUGGUGUAGCGGUGAAAUGCAUAGAUAUCACGCAGAACCCCGAUCGCGAAGGCAGCCUGCCAGGCCGUGACUGACACUGAUGCACGAAAGCGUGGGUAUCGAACAGGAUUAGAUACCCUGGUAGUCCACGCAGUAAACGAUGAUCACUAGCUGUUUGCGA